UACGUAGGGGGCGAGCGUUGUCCGGAAUCAUUGGGCGUAAAGAGCGUGUAGGCGGCUUGGCAAGUCUGACGUGAAAGCCCGCGGCUCAACCGCGGAUUGUCGUUGGAAACUGCCUCGCUAGAGUCCGGAAGAGGAGAGCGGAAUUCCUGGCGUAGCGGUGGAAUGCGCAGAUAUCAGGAAGAACACCCGUGGCGAAGGCGGCUCUCUGGGACGGUACUGACGCUGAGACGCGAAAGCGUGGGGAGCGAACAGG
RNAcentral lists this ribosomal RNA (253 nucleotides) under uncultured bacterium. Its description in RNAcentral is "partial 16S ribosomal RNA". It matches the Rfam family "Bacterial small subunit ribosomal RNA", at positions 524 to 776 of the family's 1533-position model. The record is from RNAcentral.